RNAcentral lists this ribosomal RNA (720 nucleotides) under Microbacterium sp. Its description in RNAcentral is "bacterial SSU rRNA". It matches the Rfam family "Bacterial small subunit ribosomal RNA", at positions 798 to 1517 of the family's 1533-position model. The record is from RNAcentral. Lineage: Bacteria; Bacillati; Actinomycetota; Actinomycetes; Micrococcales; Microbacteriaceae.
GACAUUACGGUGGGACUAGUUGUGGGGACCAUUCCACGGUUUCCGUGACGCAGCUAACGCAUUAAGUUCCCCGCCUGGGGAGUACGGCCGCAAGGCUAAAACUCAAAGGAAUUGACGGGGACCCGCACAAGCGGCGGAGCAUGCGGAUUAAUUCGAUGCAACGCGAAGAACCUUACCAAGGCUUGACAUACACCAGAACACCGUAGAAAUACGGGACUCUUUGGACACUGGUGAACAGGUGGUGCAUGGUUGUCGUCAGCUCGUGUCGUGAGAUGUUGGGUUAAGUCCCGCAACGAGCGCAACCCUCGUUCUAUGUUGCCAGCACGUAAUGGUGGGAACUCAUGGGAUACUGCCGGGGUCAACUCGGAGGAAGGUGGGGAUGACGUCAAAUCAUCAUGCCCCUUAUGUCUUGGGCUUCACGCAUGCUACAAUGGCCGGUACAAAGGGCUGCAAUACCGUGAGGUGGAGCGAAUCCCAAAAAGCCGGUCCCAGUUCGGAUUGAGGUCUGCAACUCGACCUCAUGAAGUCGGAGUCGCUAGUAAUCGCAGAUCAGCAACGCUGCGGUGAAUACGUUCCCGGGUCUUGUACACACCGCCCGUCAAGUCAUGAAAGUCGGUAACACCUGAAGCCGGUGGCCCAACCCUUGUGGAGGGAGCCGUCGAAGGUGGGAUCGGUAAUUAGGACUAAGUCGUAACAAGGUAGCCGUACCGGAAGGUGCGG